GUAACAAGGUUUCCGUAGGUGAACCUGCGGAAGGAUCAUUACUGAAUGUAUUAUCAUUUUCUGUGAAUGUGCCUGGUAGCGAUACCAGGGAUUGCUUCGGCUUUGAAUUUAUCUUUGGAUUUAUCUUUGGAUUUACGUCAAGGCUGCUGGAAAACUCUUAAAACAUUGUCUAAACAAUUAUUAAAUAAUUAAAACUUUCAACAACGGAUCUCUAGGUUCUCGCAUCGAUGAAGAACGCAGCGAAAUGCGAUACGUAUUGUGAAUUGCAGAUUUUUGUGAAUCAUCGAAUCUUUGAACGCACAUUGCGCCUGGUGGUUAUUCCGCCAGGCAUGCCUGUUUGAGCGUCAUUUCUCUCUCACUAAUUUAUUAGGUGGUUUUGCUGGAUCUCUAAACUCCCCUGGGAGAAGUUAGAGCCCGGUGAAAAGAAAUGGCAUGGCUCUUGUUCCUGUUAACGUGUUCUAGGUUUUCCAACUACACUACUAGCGGAAUUUGAAGUCGGCUUGAUAACUCUUUCAACGUUGACCUCAAAUCAGGUAAGACUACCCGCCGAACUUAAG
Molecule: ribosomal RNA, 557 nt
Filed under: Blastobotrys fungorum
Lineage: Eukaryota; Fungi; Ascomycota; Dipodascomycetes; Dipodascales; Trichomonascaceae
Description: eukaryotic LSU rRNA
Rfam family: 5.8S ribosomal RNA (bases 193-347)
Source: RNAcentral